CUCGCGCUCAUACUCAACUCCUUGGUAUUGUCAGUGCUAGACGUGUUAAAUAAUAGAUGCCUUUGUGUAGGACAAGGAAGUAACGGAACAGAUUGAGAAUUUGAGUAUGAAGAAAAAAUAAAGGGUAUCAAACGUUCUAUGGAGGCUAUUAAAUUUUCCGGAUAAGGAACUAAAUUGGACUUGAAAGAAAGAAUUGCAAUUGGAGCUCUCCCACGGCUUGAAGUUUGAUCCGAACAAGGAAACAUCAGAGGAACAUGUACAAUACUGACAGCAGUUUCAGUAGGAAAACUGGUGAAGUCGUUCAAAUGAUCUUCUUGACGCCUGUUACCAGAAAAAUUCAUACCUUUACAAUCAUCAUUAACAGCUGUUUCUGAUACGGACUCUGAAGCAGACUUCUCUGUUGACGAUUCAGUAGCGAAAGAAGAUUCUUGCAAGCAAUUUUGGAAGAAUGGAUUCCUAUUAGGAUCUGUUUGAAUGGAGGGACUAGCAACUGGAGAUCUUGACCAAGGAGAAAGUAAAUUUUGUUCAUACUCAUCAUAAAUGUUUGAAGGUUCUUCCGAAAAAGACGAACUUUGUGCUUUUGAAAUGUCACUUUGGGAAUACGGUUUACGAUUCUGACUGAAAUGUGAAACAAAUGCUCUCUUUUUCUGUGGAUAAAGUCCAUUUAACUGAGCUGCAGAAGCACUAAUUUCAACCUGCUUUUUCAAUUCAUUAAGUUUUUCAUCAUGAAAAACUUUCCAUGAAUUCUUAAUGCUGCGAAUAUCAUCAACAUUAGGUAUAGAACUAAAGUAAUCAUUAUCAUGAACCUUGGUGUUUUUAACAAUGUGCUGUUGUUUACGUGUAUAUACAAGCAAUGUCGCACGCUCCAAGACUGUUUGUACAACUUUGCUAUCAAUAAGCAAAUCCCCUUCAUGUUUAAGAGAAGCUGGAUCUUUGUAUAUAAUACCCUUUGAACCAUCCGAAGCAACUACGGUAACAUAAGAACUGCUAGCAAGGUUGUCAUUAACACUUAUAGGGUUACUAUACGGAUCAUAAUGGGAACCGCCAUCGUAAUAACAUCUGAGUUGCCAAGGAGUAUUGUAUAUGUCAGAAAGGUCACGCGGUUCUACAACAGAUAUUU
Schizosaccharomyces pombe (fission yeast) is the source of this 1120-nucleotide non-coding RNA. NCBI's taxonomy places the organism in Eukaryota, Fungi, Ascomycota, Schizosaccharomycetes, Schizosaccharomycetales, Schizosaccharomycetaceae. The record is from the annotation of a GenBank genome assembly.